This 268-nucleotide long non-coding RNA is filed under the name Panax ginseng (ginseng). RNAcentral's name for it is "long non-coding RNA (PGIN_LNC017205)". Lineage: Eukaryota; Viridiplantae; Streptophyta; Magnoliopsida; Apiales; Araliaceae. The record is from RNAcentral.
GGGGUUGAAGCCCCACCUGGCAACUAACCGUUUACUCAUACUACUGUAGUCUUCUAAGGUUGGGGGUAGAUAUAGAUUAUUAAGGAGAGAGGAAUUCAUGUUUUCUUUUCAUCCGCUUUAACUUUAAUGUCAAAGUCGUAUUAUUUCCUUUACUUUCUCAUCUCUUAUUCCCCUUUUACAGAAAAAUAAUAGAAGAAUCUUGUAUCAGUGGAGUGGAUUAUUUAUUAUUAUACAUCCGCGUCUUUGCUUAUUUCUUUGAGGGAGGGAG